This 332-nucleotide ribosomal RNA is filed under the name uncultured bacterium. RNAcentral describes it as "bacterial SSU rRNA". It matches the Rfam family "Bacterial small subunit ribosomal RNA", at positions 568 to 898 of the family's 1533-position model. The record is from RNAcentral.
CGUGUAGGCGGUCCGCUAAGUCUGAUGUGAAAGCCCGGGGCUCACCCCCGGAAGGGCAUUGGAAACUGGCGGACUCGAGUCCCGGAGAGGAGGGUGGAAUUCCCGGUGUAGCGGUGAAACGCGUAGAUAUCGGGAGGAACACCGGCGGCGAAGGCGGCCCUCUGGACGGUGACUGACGCUAAGACGCGAAAGCGUGGGGAGCAAACAGGAUUAGAUACCCUGGUAGUCCACGCUGUAAACGAUGAGCACUGGGUGUCGCGGGUAUUGACCCCUGCGGUGCCGCAGCUAACGCAUUAAGUGCUCCGCCUGGGGACUACGGCCGCAAGGUUAAA